This is a long non-coding RNA of Priapulus caudatus, 373 nucleotides long. RefSeq lists it as uncharacterized. The record is from RefSeq and is a predicted model, not a curated record. Lineage: Eukaryota; Metazoa; Priapulida; Priapulimorpha; Priapulimorphida; Priapulidae. The transcript is spliced from 3 exons.
CGAUUACCUAAUACGGCAGACGAUCAUCAAUGUUUUUGCUCAAGAUAGUUGGAAAGCUAUCAUCAUAGAGAAUGCCUGAUUUGCUCGGAGGAAAAGACGAGGCGUCUGUGCUCUCCAGUGGAUCCAAGUAUAAUAUCAGUCGCUCCUGCAUGAAUAUGGUCACCAGCACCCAAUGGUCACCAGUAGGAUUCGAUGGGGCCAGAAUCAAUGAAGUGGCACUGACGCCAUCUCUACGGUCUGCCCAGAGCAUUCCAGUUGACUGACCCCCUCUCCAGUAAUGUCACUGCACUUGGACGACGUGCAGCAGACCAUGAGUAUAAUAAUGCCAGUAAAUGUACGAAACUACCAAUGGAUAAUUUUUGGUAUGACACUU